UAUAUUCCCCGUCCGGGAGGGUGAGACCCUCGACAGGGUUCGACAAAACGCAACGCGUUUUGCACAGCCGUCAGGCUGCCCGCAGGGUGAGCGCAGCGAAUACAUCCCUCCCUCACCGCCA
This 121-nucleotide small RNA is filed under the name Serratia sp. JUb9. Its description in RNAcentral is "RtT sRNA". It matches the Rfam family "RtT RNA". From Rfam's summary of the family: This family represents a bacterial cis-regulatory element known as RtT RNA. The exact function of RtT is unknown although it is thought that it may be involved in changing the cellular response in relation to amino acid starvation. The record is from RNAcentral. Lineage: Bacteria; Pseudomonadati; Pseudomonadota; Gammaproteobacteria; Enterobacterales; Yersiniaceae.